ACUCUUGGCAACGGAUAUCUUGGCUCUCGCAUCGAUGAAGAACGUAGCAAAAUGCGAUAGCUGGUGUGAAUUGCAGAAUCCCGUGAACCAUCGAGUCUUUGAACGCAAGUUGCGCCUGAAGCCGUCAGGCCAAGGGCACGCCUGCCUGGGUGUCA
RNAcentral lists this ribosomal RNA (155 nucleotides) under Parnassia perciliata. RNAcentral describes it as "5.8S ribosomal RNA". It matches the Rfam family "5.8S ribosomal RNA". Rfam says of the family: 5.8S ribosomal RNA (5.8S rRNA) is a component of the large subunit of the eukaryotic ribosome. It is transcribed by RNA polymerase I as part of the 45S precursor that also contains 18S and 28S rRNA. The record is from RNAcentral. Lineage: Eukaryota; Viridiplantae; Streptophyta; Magnoliopsida; Celastrales; Celastraceae.